Molecule: ribosomal RNA, 484 nt
Filed under: uncultured bacterium
Lineage: Bacteria
Description: bacterial SSU rRNA
Rfam family: Bacterial small subunit ribosomal RNA
Source: RNAcentral
GAUGAACGCUGGCGGCGUGCCUAAUACAUGCAAGUCGAGCGGUAACACUUCGGGUGACGAGCGGCGGACGGCUGAGUAACGCGUAGGAAUGUACCCCAAACUGAGGGAUAAGCACCAGAAAUGGUGUCUAAUACCGCAUAUGGUCUUCGGAUUAAAGCUUCGGCGGUUUGGGAACGGCCUGCGUAUGAUUAGCUUGUUGGUGAGGUAAAAGCUCACCAAGGCGACGAUCAUUAGCUGGUCUGAGAGGAUGAUCAGCCAGACUGGGACUGAGACACGGCCCAGACUCCUACGGGAGGCAGCAGUAGGGAAUCUUCCACAAUGGGCGAAAGCCUGAUGGAGCAACGCCGCGUGCAGGAUGAAAGCCUUCGGGUCGUAAACUGCUUUUAUAUGCGAAGACUUCGACGGUAGCAUAUGAAUAAGGAUCGGCUAACUCCGUGCCAGCAGCCGCGGUCAUACGGAGGAUCCAAGCGUUAUCCGGAAUUAC